This 406-nucleotide ribosomal RNA is filed under the name uncultured bacterium. Its description in RNAcentral is "bacterial SSU rRNA". It matches the Rfam family "Bacterial small subunit ribosomal RNA", at positions 354 to 777 of the family's 1533-position model. The record is from RNAcentral.
GUGGGGAAUAUUGCACAAUGGGGGGAACCCUGAUGCAGCGACGCCGCGUGAGCGAAGAAGUAUUUCGGUAUGUAAAGCUCUAUCAGCAGGGAAGAAAAUGACGGUACCUGACUAAGAAGCACCGGCUAAAUACGUGCCAGCAGCCGCGGUAAUACGUAUGGUGCAAGCGUUAUCCGGAUUUACUGGGUGUAAAGGGAGCGUAGACGGCUGUGCAAGUCUGAAGUGAAAGGCCGGGGCCCAACCCCGGGAGUGCUUUGGAAACUGUGCAGCUAGAGUGUCGGAGAGGCAAGUGGAAUUCCCAGUGUAGCGGUGAAAUGCGUAGAUAUUGGGAGGAACACCAGUGGCGAAGGCGUCUUGCUGGACGAUGACUGACGUUGAGGCUCGAAAGCGUGGGGAGCAAACAGGA